AAAUCCUACGGGACGCAGCAGUGGGGAAUAUUGCACAAUGGGCGAAAGCCUGAUGCAGCAACGCCGCGUGAAGGAAGAAGGGUUUCGGCUCGUAAACUUCUAUCAACAGGGACGAAAGAAAUGACGGUACCUGAAUAAGAAGCCACGGCUAACUACGUGCCAGCAGCCGCGGGAAUACGUAGGGGGCAAGCGUUAUUCGGAAUUACUGGGGGGAAAGGGGGAGUAGGCGGCAUGGUAAGCCAGAAGUGAAAGCCUUGGGCUUAACCCGAGGAUUGCAUUUGGAACUAUCAAGCUAGAGUACAGGA
This 305-nucleotide ribosomal RNA is filed under the name uncultured bacterium. RNAcentral's name for it is "bacterial SSU rRNA". It matches the Rfam family "Bacterial small subunit ribosomal RNA", at positions 334 to 653 of the family's 1533-position model. The record is from RNAcentral.